This 88-nucleotide transfer RNA is filed under the name Ceratocystis platani. It matches the Rfam family "tRNA". From Rfam's summary of the family: Transfer RNA (tRNA) molecules are approximately 80 nucleotides in length. Their secondary structure includes four short double-helical elements and three loops (D, anti-codon, and T loops). Lineage: Eukaryota; Fungi; Ascomycota; Sordariomycetes; Microascales; Ceratocystidaceae. The record is from Rfam by way of RNAcentral.
GGAGAGAUGGCUGAGUGGUUUAAGGCGAGUGUUUGGAAAAUGCUUUUAGUAAAUCUUACUAACGUGGGUUCGAAUCCCGCUCUCUCCG